CGCGGGAUUAGAGUUUGAUCAUGGCUCAGAUUGAACGCUGGCGGCAGGCCUAACACAUGCAAGUCGAGCGGUAACAGGAAGAAAGCUUGCUUUCUUUGCUGACGAGCGGCGGACGGGUGAGUAAUGCCUAGGGAUCUGCCCAGUCGUGGGGGAUAACAGUUGGAAACGACUGCUAAUACCGCAUACGCCCUACGGGGGAAAGGAGGGGACCUUCGGGCCUUCCGCGAUUGGAUGAACCUAGGUGGGAUUAGCUAGUUGGUGAGGUAAUGGCUCACCAAGGCAACGAUCCCUAGCUGGUCUGAGAGGAUGAUCAGCCACACUGGAACUGAGACACGGUCCAGACUCCUACGGGAGGCAGCAGUGGGGAAUAUUGCACAAUGGGCGAAAGCCUGAUGCAGCCAUGCCGCGUGUGUGAAGAAGGCCUUCGGGUUGUAAAGCACUUUCAGCGAGGAGGAAAGGUUAAUAGUUAAUAAUUAUUAGCUGUGACGUUACUCGCAGAAGAAGCACCGGCUAACUUCGUGCCAGCAGCCGCGGUAAUACGAGGGGUGCAAGCGUUAAUCGGAAUUACUGGGCGUAAAGCGUACGCAGGCGGUUCGUUAAGCGAGAUGUGAAAGCCCCGGGCUCAACCUGGGAACUGCAUUUCGAACUGGCAAACUAGAGUCCUGUAGAGGGGGGUAGAAUUUCA
This 685-nucleotide ribosomal RNA is filed under the name uncultured Vibrionaceae bacterium. RNAcentral describes it as "bacterial SSU rRNA". It matches the Rfam family "Bacterial small subunit ribosomal RNA", at positions 1 to 671 of the family's 1533-position model. Lineage: Bacteria; Pseudomonadati; Pseudomonadota; Gammaproteobacteria; Vibrionales; Vibrionaceae. The record is from RNAcentral.